Molecule: RNA transcript, 3016 nt
Organism: Chiroxiphia lanceolata (lance-tailed manakin)
Lineage: Eukaryota; Metazoa; Chordata; Aves; Passeriformes; Pipridae
Gene: PTGR2
Gene name: prostaglandin reductase 2
Exons: 12
Source: RefSeq, a predicted model, not a curated record
GGGCGGGCCCGGUUGUUGUCGGGCGGUCGGGGCGGUUCAAGAAAUCCAGUGCAAAAUUGCUGCAAAGCAAGGAUGAUUAUACAGAGAGUAGUGCUGAAUUCACGGCCUGGGAAGAAUGGAGUGCCAGUGGCUGAAAACUUCCGACUAGAACAAAGUACAAUAGCGGAUACGGUCCAAGCGGGACAAGUGCGUGUUAAAACCCUCUAUCUCUCUGUGGACCCUUACAUGCGCUGCCGAAUGAAUGAGGACACGGGCUCCGAUUACCUCCAGCCCUGGCAGCUCUCUGAAGUUGCUGAUGGUGGCGGUGUUGGGGUUGUGGAGGAGAGCAAGCAUGAGAACCUCGCUGAAGGAGACUUUGUAACUUCCUUCACCUGGCCCUGGCAGACAGUGGCAAUUCUCGAUGGAAACUUGCUACAAAAGCUUGUUCCACAGCUUGUAAAUGGACGCCUUUCCUACUUUCUCGGUGCAGCUGGGAUCACGGGACUGACGGCCCUGUUGGGUGUCAGGGAGAAGGGACACGUGGCUGUGGGUGCAAAUCAGACGAUGGUGGUGAGCGGAGCAGCCGGUGCUUGUGGCUCUUUGGCUGGCCAGAUUGGCCGUCUGGAGGGCUGCUCUAGAGUGGUGGGAAUCGCUGGCACAGAUGAAAAGUGCUCCAUUUUGGUCCAAGAAAUGGGGUUUGAUGCUGCUAUCAAUUACAAGAAGGGAAAUGUGGCAGAACAGCUACGUGAACUCUGCCCAGGUGGUGUGGAUGUUUACUUUGACAAUGUUGGUGGAGACAUCAGUGAUACGGUUAUAAGUCAGAUGAAUCAGAACAGCCAUAUCAUCCUGUGUGGACAGAUUUCUCAAUAUAACAAAGAUGUGCCUUAUCCUCCUCCGCUGCCUCCUGACAUAGAAAAAAUACAGAAAGAAAGGAACAUCACAAGGGAAAGAUUCUUAGUGUUGAACUAUAUGGACAAACAUGAAGCUAGUAUAUUACAACUCUGCCAGUGGAUCCAAGAGGGUAAACUGAAGGUCAGAGAGACCAUGGUAGAAGGCUUAGCAAACAUUGGUGCUGCUUUCCAGUCCAUGAUGAGUGGAGGCAAUAUCGGAAAACAGAUCGUCUCAGUUUCUAAGUAAAAGUCAUUGGUUUGAGAAAAAUAAUUGCAAUCUGUCUCUAAUACCUGCUUGGAAGGAAGUAUACAUAGGAUAGUAUUCAAAGCAAGCUAAUUAAAUACCUGUAUAUUUCAAAAGGGACUUCGGCUAUGAACUGUGAGAAUACUCUCAGGUGAGUUGCUUCAGGGACCUGUGUGUGAACAACUAUACCACUAGAUGUAACCCUAAAAUCUGAUGUUGGAAAAAGAAAAUGAAAACCAGACGCUCAAUGCCUUCUUUGCAAUCUAACACAGGAAAAAUGAAAUGUCAAGAAAGAUGUUGGUAAACAAUAUUCCUAUCCUUUCUACUGCUUAUUUAUAUAGCAAAAAAAGUUAAUUUUACAAACAUCUUUACCUUACAAUUAUCAUCCUUACCAUUUCUUGAGUUGCUAGAUGGCCUUGUAGAGGCAUGACAGACCACAGAACCUGUGCACCACAUGCUUCAGUCAUUUACCUAAAUGAACUCAGAUGCUGAAUCUUAAAAAUAUUACUCAGCCAUUGCUGUUAAAGUUAAGCAAAAGUAACACUUUACAUAGGAAGUAAAAAUUCUCUCCUACUUGUCUGAAUUCCAGUAUUAAAUCAAUGUCCAGAGAGCCUUCCAAUACCAGUAAGGUCUCAAAAUCUAAUUUUUCUAAAUAAAUGUCCCACAUUCAUAAUAAUUUAAAAAUGUAAACACUCUUUUAGACAAACAUACAUAUUCAAAACAAUUUUUCUAUAUAGAAACAAAUCAAAAUUCCAAACAAACCACCACAGAAAUAAAAUAGACAGCCAAAUGGAAGGUCAAGACUUAAACAAUACCUUGUUUAAAAUCCCAAAGAAAUUAUAGGGUCUCUUAGGGCCUGGGCUGAGUGUGGCAUCCACGCAGAUGAAUGAAUAGUUCCCAAAGGAGGUAGUGUGGAUGUAAUGGAAAGAGCCAUCUUUAUGCCAGGCAGAGUAUUUCCUAACAAAAUAAAGUGGAAAUAUUGCUGUUAGGAAAGCCUGUAGCAAUGACAACAGUGACCUGCACAGUAUAAACGCAAGAUGCCUUGCAAGCAUUAGAUCUAGCUCCUUCUUGUUACUGCAGUAGUCUCUUAAAAGUCAAUGGCAUUGAAAAAUCUGUACUUCAAAGAAGAUGCAUUACAUGGGUUAUGUGUUAAGACAAGCAGCAAGUUAGCACACAAACAUUUAAAAAAAUGUUAGCACAAAUAUGCUUUCCCUGAGCAACACAGUACUUUUUUAUGGAUAAAGGAUAGGCCAGCAGUGUACAACAAACAGGUGAGAUGACAGAACAGCAGGAUCUUACACGAUUCUUAAUUAAAGGAGAACUACAAAUUAAAAAUGAAAAUUGUUCUGUAUUUAUCAUGGUAUCCAAAAGAAUUUUUCCUUGCUCACCUAGAGCAUAUCAGGGACAUUAAGUCUUGUCUCCAUUAUUUUGUUAGAGAUCUCUUAAGUUACUCUGAUGUAGAAUAAUCAGCUCUUGGCUAAUGGAAUAUGAUACUGAAGCAAAGAAAUGUUGAACUUUUUCAGUUAUUUUCCAAAAGAUGGAAAACAGAGACACUACAUUAAAUCUUAUAAAUAGUAAAGAAGGCAGCAUUUCUCUUUGCUGCUUCUUUUUUAUUUCUUGAUGUAGCAAAUCUUACCAGUUCUCUUGGUAAUGUCAUUAUCAGGUCUGUGGAAUGUCAUCAGAGUUCUUUGUUCAAAGAGUAAGAGGAGAGCAGAAAAAGGGUUGCUAUUCUUUUGCACAUUACUGAAUAUUAAUUGAACUCUUGAAUCUUAGUCUUCAAAUACUCUAAGAAAGAACUGUGAAUAGGGGAGGACUUAAAAGACAUGUCAACUAAUUCCACCUUUUUUUUUUCUCCUGUGCUUUUAUCCUAAUAUUGGUUACAAUAAAUACAUAUAAUAAUGUA